Molecule: long non-coding RNA, 546 nt
Filed under: Capsicum annuum
Lineage: Eukaryota; Viridiplantae; Streptophyta; Magnoliopsida; Solanales; Solanaceae
Description: long non-coding RNA (CANN_LNC015581)
Source: RNAcentral
AAUAAAAGAAAGCCUAGUAAAGGUAUUUAUAUACAAAAUGAAAUUUAUCCUAAUAAAAAUUAGAUUAGGGAUUUGGUAGCUUAUACAAAUGGGCAGGAUAACUCGCACAUUCCAGGUAUGGCUUGUAGUAAGUGGUCGUUGUGACAAGAUUGAUUUAUGAUUUUUAGGAUCUCUACUUCAUGAUGCUCAAGAUAGUCCUGUACUUUCAUAGAAUAACCCAUGCUAAGUGUUUGUUAUCAAAUACUAUGAUUUUAGUCUUUUGAGGAUAUCAUCACAUAACCCUUAGAGGAGCUUGUUGUAUCAUAAAAGGAGCCAUGGGAUGCUCUUGUCUGAGCACUUUAAUUUCACUUUCUCUAUUUUUUUCAUACGGUAGCCUGGAAUGACUUGUCGUUUGAUACAAUGGAUCAUUCAAAGACUCAUUUGAUGCACUUAGGAUCCAUGUUCAUAGUUAUUAAAUUUUGAACUCCCAGAAUCUAUUUUUCCUUCAAAGACCACAAAAACACAUCAUAUCCAUAUAAUUGUGCCUUAGAACCAGCAUAUUUUAAA